Long non-coding RNA from Nothoprocta perdicaria, 109 nucleotides. RefSeq lists it as uncharacterized. The record is from RefSeq and is a predicted model, not a curated record. NCBI's taxonomy places the organism in Eukaryota, Metazoa, Chordata, Aves, Tinamiformes, Tinamidae. The transcript has 2 exons.
CCUGCGCCGGCCCGGGAGCGCCGCGUCCCGCCGGGCCGAACCGAACCGAACCGAGCCGAUCAYCAGUGUCUCAAAUGUAGAAUUAAAUGCUCAAAACGGGCAAUUUUCC